Myodes glareolus (Bank vole) is the source of this 162-nucleotide small nuclear RNA. RefSeq annotates it as U1 spliceosomal RNA. The record is from RefSeq and is a predicted model, not a curated record. Lineage: Eukaryota; Metazoa; Chordata; Mammalia; Rodentia; Cricetidae.
UGAAUUACCUAGGGAGAUACCACGGUCACAAAGAUGUUGGUUUUCCAAGGCGAGGCUUAUCCAUUGCACUCUGGAUAUACUGACCCCUGCUAUUUCCCCAAAUUCAGGAAACUUGACUGCAUAAUUUGUGAUAGAGGGGUACUGCAUUCACACUCUCCCCAU